AAUCUUGAUAAGCUUACUCAGAAGUAGUAUCAACACCUUCAUCCUAGUUCAAUCUCGAGCUUCCAACACCUAACUUUAGAAUUCAAACAAAGAUUCAUCAUCUGCAUGCCACCAAAGAAACUGUCAUCCAACUUAUAAAAGGUAAGGUAGACUUUGGGUGAGUCAUUAAGAAGUCAUAUUGACUGUUUCAAUGCAAAAGCCAUCCA
This 206-nucleotide unclassified non-coding RNA is filed under the name Hevea brasiliensis (rubber tree). Lineage: Eukaryota; Viridiplantae; Streptophyta; Magnoliopsida; Malpighiales; Euphorbiaceae. The record is from RNAcentral.